UGUGAUAUGCCUGAUUUAAAAGGAUUAUUUUGAUGGAAUAUUUUAUGUAUUUUUACUAUCACAA
RNAcentral lists this transfer RNA (64 nucleotides) under Scorpiops jendeki. RNAcentral describes it as "tRNA-Ile". Lineage: Eukaryota; Metazoa; Arthropoda; Arachnida; Scorpiones; Euscorpiidae. The record is from RNAcentral.